Molecule: transfer RNA, 76 nt
Filed under: Alphaproteobacteria bacterium
Lineage: Bacteria; Pseudomonadati; Pseudomonadota; Alphaproteobacteria
Also listed under: 16 other names
Description: tRNA-Ala
Rfam family: tRNA
About the family: Transfer RNA (tRNA) molecules are approximately 80 nucleotides in length. Their secondary structure includes four short double-helical elements and three loops (D, anti-codon, and T loops).
Source: RNAcentral
GGGGCCAUAGCUCAGCUGGGAGAGCGCUUGCAUGGCAUGCAAGAGGUCGUCGGUUCGAUCCCGAUUGGCUCCACCA